This 687-nucleotide long non-coding RNA is filed under the name Apteryx rowi (Okarito brown kiwi). RNAcentral describes it as "lncRNA (ENSARWG00000009729.1)". Lineage: Eukaryota; Metazoa; Chordata; Aves; Apterygiformes; Apterygidae. The record is from RNAcentral.
AUGCACGCGGGUCCCCUGCCGCAUCUCUGUGCCAAGUCCCGGGCUGCUGUGAGCAGCGCUGCCUGGGCUGGCCUGGAACUGGAGCAACUUGCCCAAGGGCUUUGCUCCAAGAGGAGAUGGCCCUGCUGGGCAGGACAUCUUCGAGGAGAGGAUGCGGUUGCUCUCCCUCCUGCAUGUGCUGUGUCUGGAAGGGCCGAGGCAGCGGGAGGUGGGGGCAGGUCUGGUUUAGGCUUGUGCCAAGGGGUUCCUGGCAGAGCCUGGAGCCCUGCCUUCGCUCCUGGUGUCUCCCGUGACGCUGAGCCCUUCCCUGCCCAGAUUCUCCCCAGGGCGCUCUCCUGCGCUGUUCUGCUCCUCCUGGUCGCCGCCGUGCUGAGCAGAGGCAAGAGGUGCAGCAUCGCCAAAAUCCUGCGGCAGUACCGCGCCGUCAUCUUCCACGAGAUCCAGAACCUGAAAAACCUGAGCGGAUCGGCAGACAGGAACAGCCGAGCCGGGCCAGCCUGCCGUUCGGACAAGGACCAGAAGAUCCUGCUGUCCAUCUACAACAUCAGCAUGUCCCUGCGGGACGUGGCGGCCGGCACGCUGCGUGGCCCCGAGGAGGUGGCGGUGUGGAAGGUGGCCAGGAACACGGAGGUCGUGCUUAGGGACUGCAGGAAAAUCUGCAAGGAGGCCGGUCUGCAAACGGGCUUG